RNAcentral lists this ribosomal RNA (253 nucleotides) under uncultured bacterium. RNAcentral's name for it is "partial 16S ribosomal RNA". It matches the Rfam family "Bacterial small subunit ribosomal RNA", at positions 524 to 776 of the family's 1533-position model. The record is from RNAcentral.
UACAGAGGGGGCAAGCGUUGUUCGGAAUUACUGGGCGUAAAGGGCGCGUAGGCGGUCUGCUAAGCGUGCGGUGAAAGCCUGGGGCUCAACCCCAGGUCUGCCGUGCGAACUGGUGGACUAGAGCACUGUAGAGGCAGGUGGAAUUUCGGGUGUAGCGGUGGAAUGCGUAGAGAUCCGAAAGAACACCGGUGGCGAAGGCGGCCUGCUGGGCAGUUGCUGACGCUGAGGCGCGACAGCGUGGGGAGCAAACAGG